Molecule: unclassified non-coding RNA, 449 nt
Filed under: Hirpicium diffusum
Lineage: Eukaryota; Viridiplantae; Streptophyta; Magnoliopsida; Asterales; Asteraceae
Description: partial miscellaneous RNA
Source: RNAcentral
UUGGUUUGUUACGGGUGGUUGGAUGUCUUCUAGCGAAGCAACUUCCACGCGUGCUUACCUCUUCAUUUAUGUAGCAAGACUUGUUUUGUUUUGCUCGUAGUGUGGGUUUCCUGUGUUGCGUACCUAAAAGAAGGCAUUGUAUGGACCGAUCGAAGCCAUUUUCGUCAUGCAUCACAAUUGUGGUGUGUGACGGACUAAGAAGUGGUCUUUGUAACCCACGUCGUGUUGUUAUCACUUCGUCGAUGUGGUUUGCUAAGUUCUGCUUGGUCUCUUGGAUACUGAACCUGAUGUGGGCAUGGGAUCCUAAACAAUCCUUUUUUGCCCUCGUUUAGCGUUCUCGCUUCUCUAAACGAUCACUCAUCAUGCAUUGGCAUGUCCAUGCAUGGUGGGUUGCAUCGAAGAGGAAUGCUACCUGGUUGAUCCUGCCAGUAGUCAUAUGCUUGUCUCAA